GGGCCCUUAGCUCAGCUGGCAGAGCAGGGGAUUUUUAAUCCCAAGGUCGUGGGUUCGAGCCCCACAGGGCCCA
RNAcentral lists this transfer RNA (73 nucleotides) under Myxococcales bacterium. RNAcentral describes it as "tRNA-Lys". It matches the Rfam family "tRNA". Rfam says of the family: Transfer RNA (tRNA) molecules are approximately 80 nucleotides in length. Their secondary structure includes four short double-helical elements and three loops (D, anti-codon, and T loops). Further hydrogen bonds mediate the characteristic L-shaped molecular structure. tRNAs have two regions of fundamental functional importance: the anti-codon, which is responsible for specific mRNA codon recognition, and the 3' end, to which the tRNAs corresponding amino acid is attached (by aminoacyl-tRNA synthetases). tRNAs cope with the degeneracy of the genetic code in two manners: having more than one tRNA (with a specific anti-codon) for a particular amino acid; and 'wobble' base-pairing, i.e. permitting non-standard base-pairing at the 3rd anti-codon position. Lineage: Bacteria; Pseudomonadati; Myxococcota; Myxococcia; Myxococcales. The record is from RNAcentral.